GGGAGGUGUUGGCUCUGAAUGUUCACUGAAACACUGCUUGAAGAGAGGGGAGGCCGGACAGCACGGAUGAAUGGACGUUUCUUCCCAAACACAGCAGUGUGGAGCCGUCAGCAGGAGGCAUCCACAGCAAGAUACACCCUUCAGAAGUCAGGAGGCCUGUGUUUGCUCCAGGGAUUACAUUACCACACCAGAGGCCUUCCAGACAGACACACACACUGCAUCACCACCAAAGGGAAUCCAAACACAGCGGGGAGGAAAACGGCUGCGGUCCGGGCCGUGAAUGGCAGGCAGGCGUUUGAUGCUGGGAAAGCGACAACAAAGCAUUCCCGGAGGGACUCAGUAGGGGGACGGACCAGCACUCCUAUUCCGCACUAGAUGCCUGUGACACCUUGACACCGCAACUUCCUGCUAAUUUAGAGCAGGCAUCUCUUCCCUGUCAGCACAUCCUCAUCCUCGUGUGUGUGUGCGUGUGUGCGCGUGUGCGUGUGCGUGUGUGUUCGAAGCUAGAGAGGUCAGCUGGACUGAUGAGCCAGGUCAGGUGAGAUAGGAAGGGAUGGGUGGGAAUGAACAUUCAGUUUAGGUGUGUGUGUGAGAAAACAGGUUUCUGUGUGACGCUGUGGUUUGGUAGUUUAGUGCCUCAUGUUCUGCCAGUUUUGUAUGUGUUUUUGUCAAUGGAGGCAUCAGGAGCACAGCUAAUAAAAGAGAAUAAAUGAUAUGAUGGAGGUGCAAGGUGGAGGUUUCAGAAAUCACCUGCACGAUUGCCUGUCAGGGAUUAGACC
RNAcentral lists this long non-coding RNA (779 nucleotides) under Cottoperca gobio. Its description in RNAcentral is "lncRNA (ENSCGOG00000020689.1)". The record is from RNAcentral. Lineage: Eukaryota; Metazoa; Chordata; Actinopteri; Perciformes; Bovichtidae.